GAUGAACGCUAGCGACAGGCCUAACACAUGCAAGUCGAGGGGCAGCACGGUGUAGCAAUACACGGGUGGCGACCGGCGCACGGGUGAGUAACGCGUAUGCAACCUGCCUACUACAAGGGGAUAACCCGUUGAAAGACGGACUAAUACCCUAUAACACAGGGAAUCCGCAUGGAUAUAUUUGUUAAAGAUUUAUCGGUAGUAGAUGGGCAUGCGUUCCAUUAGCUUGUUGGUGAGGUAACGGCUCACCAAGGCAACGAUGGAUAGGGGAACUGAGAGGUUGAUCCCCCACACUGGAACUGAGACACGGUCCAGACUCCUACGGGAGGCAGCAGUGAGGAAUAUUGGUCAAUGGACGAGAGUCUGAACCAGCCAAGUCGCGUGAAGGAAGACGGCCCUACGGGUUGUAAACUUCUUUUGUAAGGGAAUAAAUAGUCUUACGCGCUAAGACGUUGCAGGUACCUUACGAAUAAGGAUCGGCUAACUCCGUGCCAGCAGCCGCGGUAAACUA
Molecule: ribosomal RNA, 508 nt
Filed under: uncultured bacterium
Lineage: Bacteria
Description: bacterial SSU rRNA
Rfam family: Bacterial small subunit ribosomal RNA
Source: RNAcentral